Molecule: ribosomal RNA, 469 nt
Filed under: uncultured bacterium
Lineage: Bacteria
Description: partial 16S ribosomal RNA
Rfam family: Bacterial small subunit ribosomal RNA
Source: RNAcentral
GACGAACGCUGGCGGCGUGCUUAACACAUGCAAGUCGAACGGAAAGGCCCUGCUUGCAGGGUGCUCGAGUGGCGAACGGGUGAGUAACACGUGGGUGAUCUGCCCCUUACUUUGGGAUAAGCCUGGGAAACUGGGUCUAAUACUGGAUAGGACCAUGCUGUAGGUGGUGUGGUGGAAAGAUUAGUUUCGGUAAGGGAUGAGCUCGCGGCCUAUCAGCUUGUUGGUGGGGUAAUGGCCUACCAAGGCGUCGACGGGUAGCCGGCCUGAGGGGGUGGACGGCCACAUUGGGACUGCGAUACGGCCCAGACUCCUACGGGGGGCAGCAGUGGGGAAUAUUGCACAAUGAGCGCAAGCCUGAUGCAGCGACGCCGCGUGGGGGAUGACGGCCUUCGGGUUGUAAACUCCUUUCAGCCAUGACGAAGCCCUUGUGGUGACGGUAGUGGUAGAAGAAGCACCGGCUAACUACGUG